RNAcentral lists this ribosomal RNA (253 nucleotides) under uncultured bacterium. Its description in RNAcentral is "partial 16S ribosomal RNA". It matches the Rfam family "Bacterial small subunit ribosomal RNA", at positions 524 to 776 of the family's 1533-position model. The record is from RNAcentral.
GACAGAGGGUGCAAACGUUGUUCGGAAUUACUGGGCGUAAAGCGCGUGUAGGCGGCUAAGUAAGUCGGGCGUGAAAUCCCACGGCUCAACCGUGGAAGUGCACUCGAAACUGCAUAGCUAGAGUCCUGGAGAGGAAGGUGGAAUGCUUGGUGUAGAGGUGAAAUUCGUAGAUAUCAAGCGGAACACCGGUGGCGAAGGCGGUCUGCUGGGCCAAGACUGACGCUGAGGCGCGACAGCGUGGGGAGCAAACAGG